AAAAGCUCCGGCGGUAUAGGAUGGUCCCGCGUCUGAUUAGCUGGUUGGCGGGGUAACGGCCCACCAAGGCGACGAUCAGUAGCCGGCUUGAGAGAGUGGACGGCCACAUUGGGACUGAGACACGGCCCAAACUCCUACGGGAGGCAGCAGUGGGGAAUAUUGCACAAUGGGGGAAACCCUGAUGCAGCGACGCCGCGUGAGUGAAGAAGUAUUUCGGUAUGUAAAGCUCUAUCAGCAGGGAAGAAAAAAGACGGUACCUGACUAAGAAGCCCCGGCUAACUACGUGCCAGCAGCCGCGGUAAUACGUAGGGGGCAAGCAUUAUCCGGAAUUACUGGGUGUAAAGGGUGCGUAGGUGGCAUGGUAAGUCAGAAGUGAAAGCCCGGGGCUUAACCCCGGGACUGCUUUUGAAACUGUCAUGCUGGAGUGCAGGAGAGGUAAGCGGAAUUCCUAGUGUAGCGGUGAAAUGCGUAGAUAUUAGGAGGAACACCAGUGGCGAAGGCGGCUUACUGGACUGUCACUGACACUGAUGCACGAAAGCGUGGGGAGCAAGCAGGAUUAGAUACCCUGGUAGUCCACGCCGUA
RNAcentral lists this ribosomal RNA (583 nucleotides) under uncultured bacterium. RNAcentral describes it as "bacterial SSU rRNA". It matches the Rfam family "Bacterial small subunit ribosomal RNA", at positions 202 to 804 of the family's 1533-position model. The record is from RNAcentral.